CCUGCCCCAUGCCGGGGGAUAACAGCUGGAAACGGCUGCUAAUACCGCAUAAGCGCACAGAGCUGCAUGGCUCGGUGUGAAAAACUCCGGUGGUAUGGGAUGGGCCCGCGUCUGAUUAGGCAGUUGGCGGGGUAACGGCCCACCAAACCGACGAUCAGUAGCCGGCCUGAGAGGGCGACCGGCCACAUUGGGACUGAGACACGGCCCAAACUCCUACGGGAGGCAGCAGUGGGGAAUAUUGCACAAUGGGGGAAACCCUGAUGCAGCGACGCCGCGUGAGCGAAGAAGUAUUUCGGUAUGUAAAGCUCUAUCAGCAGGGAAGAUAAUGACGGUACCUGACUAAGAAACCCCGGCUAACUACGUGCCAGCAGCCGCGGUAAUACGUAGGGGGCAAGCGUUAUCCGGAUUUACUGGGUGUAAAGGGAGCGUAGACGGCAAGGCAAGUCUGAUGUGAAAACCCAGGGCUUAACCCUGGGACUGCAUUGGAAACUGUCUGGCUCGAGUGCCGGAGAGGUAAGCGGAAUUCCUAGUGUAGCGGUGAAAUGCGUAGAUAUUAGGAAGAACACCAGUGGCGAAGGCGGCUUACUGGACGGUAACUGACGUUGAGGCUCGAAAGCGUGGGGAGCAAACAGGAUUAGAUACCCUGGUAGUCCACGCUGUAAACGAUGAAUGCUAGGUGUUGGGGAGCAAAGCUCUUCGGUGCCGCCG
RNAcentral lists this ribosomal RNA (708 nucleotides) under uncultured bacterium. RNAcentral describes it as "bacterial SSU rRNA". It matches the Rfam family "Bacterial small subunit ribosomal RNA", at positions 125 to 851 of the family's 1533-position model. The record is from RNAcentral.